AUGGUGGCAGCUGUGUUUAUGAUCGUCCUUGCCAUUGGAUCGCCCAGGAGGCGUCAAUCUCAGAGCAUCAUUAUCAGAUAUGGAGUCGAGGGAGUGUUUAUACUAUCCUCCCCACUUGUCUCCCACACAUUGGGACUGAUGGGAGGGCAAAUAGUCAGGAGUGAGCUGUACGGGGUGUGGGGAAUGUUUUUGGCCAUGCUAUUUGGCGGCACCAACUCAAUGUCAGUCCAGAAGCUCUACGAGAACAAUAAAUCAAUGAAGCUUUAUUGCGACUACCUCCUGUUCAUCUUCUACCUCGGCAUGGUUUUAGGCAUCUUUGUCAUCGAUAAUAAAAAUCUUCCGCAAAUUCGGUUCGUAGCCAUGGCCUUGAAUGUCCUGUUGGCUACUAAAAGUCUUGAACAGUGGCGUGUUGCAGCUCUAGCAAGCAAACCAUCAUCAGAAAAUGGCAUUAAGCGGUUGGUCCUCUACAUGAAGCAUGAGCACGAACUCAGCACGUCCUAUGACCCUCGCACCAUGCAAGGAUACAAGUAUGCUGUUCUCAUCCAUGAAGGUUGCGAUGAACUUGGAGAGGGUCCAAUAACACUGGAAAAAAUCUGGUCUGACAACAUUGGUGUCUUAUCAUCUUCCAACAAUCUUAACAUCCACCGCCUCAAGGAUCUAUGUCUCUCAUUCUCCUUGUUCCAUCUUGUGGUUCGGCGAUACUUUGGCUAUGCUUGUCCUGAAUCAAAGCUUGACAAGUCUCGUCAUCUUGUUCUUGAUGGGUUGUUGCGAACAGAAUGUGACUCUGAAAGAGCAUUCCAAGUGAUUGAAGCAGAGCUGGCUUUCCUCUACGACUUCUUCUUCACCAAGUAUGCUUACAUUAUGUAUGGUAGAGAGAUAAAGUGGUGUGCUCUUUCGCUUGCCACCACAUUUGUUAGUAUAGCGGUGGGCACAUGGUCUCUUUGUUCUUUGAACAUGCAUCAUUCUAAUCUGGAUGAUAAUUUGGUAGAAACGAGCACACAAGACUUCAUGGUUACCAAAAUAGUGUUUGCUGUACUUUCAACAUUUCAGCUGCUGCAGAUAUGGUCUUACUGUGCCUCUGACUGGGCGAAUGUAUCCUUGGUUUGUAAGUACGCAAGACAUCCAUCGUGGCAUGGGAAUGCUUGUAUUGAGAAGCUUCUAUUGCUUCUAGGACGACCUCACAAAUGGCUUCGCUACUGGCGCAACACCAUUGGUCAGUACUCAGUCCUUGAUUCCUUCAGUUCCAGCUACUGGGCUCGGUUGAAGCAUCACCUUCCAAGAGGAAAAGCAGGCAAACCUAAAGAGUUGACAAUGGAGGUGAAGAGAGCAAUUGCACACACUAUCAAACACUCCGUCUGUGACCGUCUGUCGCAUGGAGCCUCAGCAUUAAUGAAGCAUCACAUGAGUAAUGAGCUACACUGGGCAUGCGAGAUCAGUGAUGAAUUUACACUAAUUCACAGCAUACUAGUAUGGCAUGUCGCCACUAGCUACUACGAGAUCUCCGAAGCAGACACAUACACAAAUCAAAUUUAUAUGCAUUCAAAUCAAAAGAUUGCCAUCAGCUUGUCUAGAUAUUGCGCAUACUUGGUUGCCUUUGCCCCAACAUUGCUUCCCAGCCGCCCAAUGGAGACAACAUGUAUCUUGGAUGACUUCGAACAAGAAGCAAAGGAACAAUUUCAGAACCUCGUCUCACCAAAAGAGAAGUAUGAAAAGCUUAGAGAGCUUCAUAAUGGAGCCGGUGCCGGAGGAACAAUGGUGGCAGAACUGUUGACAAAGGGUGCCAUAAUUGGGAAGACAAUAGAGGGCAUGGGAAAUCGCAUGAUCCGAUGGGAUCUACUCGCAGAUUUCUGGGCGGAGAUGCUGGUGUAUAUCGCCCCAUCUGACAAUGUAGCUGGUCACAUUGAACUUCUCGCUGAAGGUGGCGAGUUCGUGACACAUGUCUGGGCGUUGCUCAUGCAUGCUGGCAUCCUGGAGCGGCCUGCUGCAGCUGCCACCGCAGUACCCUAG
This 2007-nucleotide ribosomal RNA is filed under the name Triticum aestivum (bread wheat). RNAcentral describes it as "partial small subunit ribosomal RNA". The record is from RNAcentral. Lineage: Eukaryota; Viridiplantae; Streptophyta; Magnoliopsida; Poales; Poaceae.